This 723-nucleotide long non-coding RNA is filed under the name Nicotiana tabacum (common tobacco). RNAcentral describes it as "long non-coding RNA (NTAB_LNC002637)". The record is from RNAcentral. Lineage: Eukaryota; Viridiplantae; Streptophyta; Magnoliopsida; Solanales; Solanaceae.
CUAAUGCUGAUUGAAUGGAAAAGUUCAGUUUAGGGUUUAAAACCCUAAUACUGACUGAAAUUAAAGAGUUCAGUUUAGGGUUUAAAACUCUAAUGCUGACUAAAGGAAAAAGUUCAGUUUAGGGUUUAAAACCCUAAUGCUGACUGAAUGGAAAAAGUUCAAUUUAGGGUUUAAAACCCUAAUGCUGACUGAAUGGAAAGUUCAGUUUAGGGUUUAAAACCCUAAUGCUGACUAAAGGAAAGAGUUCAGUUUAGGGGUUUAAAACCCUAAUGCUGACUAAAGGAAAAAGUUCAGUUUAGGGUUUAAAAACCUAAUGCUGACUAAAUGGAAAAGUUCAGUUUAGGGUUUAAAAACCCUAAUACUGACUGAAAUGAAAGAGUUCAGUUUAGGGUUUAAAACCCUAAUGCUGACUAAAGGAAAGAGUUCAGUUUAGGGUUUAAAACCCUAAUGCUGACUAAAGGAAAAAAGUUCAGUUUAGGGUUUAAAACCGUAAUGCUGACUAAAGGAAAGAGUUCAGUUUAGGGUUUAAAACCCUAAUGCUGACUGAAUGGAAAAGUUCAGUUUAGGGUUUAAAACCCUAAUGCUGACUGAAUGGAAAAGUUCAGUUUAGGGUUUUAAAACCCUAAUGCUGACUGAAAUGAAAGAGUUCAGUUUAGGGUUUAAAACUCUAAUGCUGACUAAAGGAAAAAGUUCAGUUUAGGGUUUAAAGCCCUAAUGCUGACU